Molecule: long non-coding RNA, 3614 nt
Organism: Equus caballus (horse)
Lineage: Eukaryota; Metazoa; Chordata; Mammalia; Perissodactyla; Equidae
Source: Ensembl
CUGGGGUGGUUAAAAACAUAAUCACUGACCCCUCCCCAAGUGAGUAAGGGAAGGGGACCAGGGAGCUCCUGGCCCAGGGAGAAGGAGGCCCUGGGAAAGGGACAGCAUGAGGGACAAGAGCUUACUGCUCUCUGAAGGGGACCCGCACAAGAACACGAGUUGAUAGGAUCUCCAAACAGCACGAGGGAUGGAGGAGGAGAAUAUGGGAGGUGCAGAGGAGAGGCGGUAGGCCCCGCGGCCACUUAGAAGGCGGAAGCGUGUCCGGGCUGAGAUGAGAAUCCGCAAGGACUGACAGGUUGGGACCAGGCGGCGGCCAGGGAGCUGGGAGCCGGCAGGUUGAAUCUCAAACCUCCAUCGGUCUGGAUAGAGAGACUCUAAGCAUGAGGCUGCUCCGGUUUUCCUCACUGCCCAGCGCCGGCGGUCCAGCGUGGGUGUGGAGAUGCACAGGAAACGGGGGACUCUGAGUCACCCACAUUUUUGAGGGGUGGGGAGGAGCUGGACCUUCCUCACAGAGCUGAGAGAUCGGGGGAGUUAGAGCCAGGCCUGGCUGGAGGGUCGGACGUCUGAGUUGCGUGUGCCAUCAGCAGGGGGGCGUGGCCAGGAGAACAGAGAUAAGCAGAAACCCGCCCAUUUGGUGGCCUAGGGAGGGGGCCGCGGGGCGGGGCCCCCUGUGGCCAGCAGAGGGCGCGCGGGAGGCGGGCCGGCCCUGGAGAGGGCUCCCGCGAGGGCGGCGGCGAGGUGGCGGCGCGGGCCCGGGCGCCCUCUGCCGGGCCGGCCCCGGAAGCCCGGACUCGCCGCUUCCGCAGCGGAGUCUCCCCUCCCGCUCUCCCGCCGCGCGCGCUGGGCUGCGCUCAGAAUCCCCCAGGGAACGGGGGUCCAGCCCUGGAGAAGCCGUCUAGGUCUGGGACAGCCAGUUCUGGGGCCACCCGUCGCAUUGUUGGGCUCCCUCUCCGGCUUCUCGGACCGUUGGCUCUCCAGCUUUUGCUCGAUCUCCUCCGGGGACCCCCCAGCACCCUCAACAUGCAUGUACCUCCUUUCAACCGAACAGGACAGGAGUGCGGCCCCAUUUCACAGGACCUCCCCGGCCGUACCAGUAUCCAAGUACCACGCGCCUGGGCGCGUAGAUGGACUCAGUUUCCUCGGUGGGAAGUUGCACUGCCUCUGUGGUGCCCCUCUGUUUAUGGGAGUUCUGCUCCACCGCACCUAGGUCAUCUCACCCAUCCCCCAGCUUCUGAACAGGAUGCCGCCACAUUCUGUCAUUGAUCUCAAAACUAUUUGAGCGCCUACUAUGCCUCCGGUCCGAGUUCCUCGCCUCAACUCCCAGCCCCUCCGGCGGCUCCCUAGGCUUAGAGGAAGGAGCGGGAGAUCCAGGAGUACCGAUCUCCAGUCCAGGGCGCAGGGUAAGAGAGCUGAAGGUCGUCGGUGACUGGGUGAAGCCACUGGGGUAGGGCGGGGGUGGGCAGACGCCGGCGGGUCUGGGUGCUCAGGGGCCGCAGAAAGGACACUGCGCCACGCGCCGCUGCCUCCCAGCGCUCGAGCCCAGCGCGGGAUUUCCCAUUCUUAGCGCAAGGAAGACCCCUUGUGGCUGUUGUGAGAAGAGCCGGCGAAGAAAGGAGGCCAGAGCCGGGAGAUGACAGUCCCCUGCCCAGCCUCCCUGCUAUCCUGCCUGGGGUAGGGACUUGUUCCCUAGGGGGCCUUCGUGGCUCGCUAUGCCCAGAAAUCCUCCACCCAUUCCCAUACCAUCAAAACCCAACAACUGGGACUUCGGGAAUAGAGUCUUCUCGCCAAAUCACAAGGAAAAAUAAAACACAAACAGUAGCAAGUGAGACUGUGGUUAGACUCCUGGAAGGACUUCUCUCGAAGCGGCUGGGAAGCAGGAGGAUGGAUUGCGAUGAAGGGAUGAAAGAAGACAGGCUUUCCGACCCUCCCCUUCCCUGGCAGUGGGGAGAGCGUUCUCCGAGUUCUCCGAGGAAUCCUCAGCCCCUGCCCUGCGGCUCCUUCCCGCUCACAGCGAAGGAAGCUCUCCCCAGCCGGGGGCUCAGGUAGUGUCAGCGCCAGGGGCCGUCCCUCUGCCCACCCUUAGGAGGGAUGGGGGGUGCGCAAGGUCAUCGAGGACAGGGACGGGACCCCACGUUCGUCACGAUAGACCGUUGCACUCCUGAGAAGAUGCAUCCCACCCCCACCCGCGUCUGAGCUCCUUUGGGGAGCGGAAGCGCGCUAACAGUGCUGCGCCCCUUCCCCCACCCUUUGACGCUGCUAGCUACCAAGCCCCGGCCCGGGCAAUGCAAAUUUGCAUACAUUUGCAUCCCCAGCUGCGCACAGCUGCAUCCGGCUUUGGGCCAUAAAUUCGUGGCGGGAGGCUCCGGGCGAGCGGGUCCCGCGCCGCCGCCGCGCCUGUUCGCGCCCCGGGGGCCGCGGGUUCUCACGCCUCCCUGAGCAGCCGCCGGCGCUGUCCGGCCCUGCCCCGCCUCGCGCCACCUUCUGGGCGUCUGUCUGCCUCGCAUGCCGCAGCUGCAGCUGCAGCCGCAGGCCAGGCCUGAACCCCCAGAUCCCCCUUUCUCCAUCUCUCCUGGACUCGACCGGGUCAUUGUCUCCUAAAUCUAUUCACGUCUCUCUGACGCCUCGGGCCGGGGGCUUCUGGUCAGAUUUUCGUGCCAGGACUAGUGGUAGCCUUCUAGGUGGCAGUCCUGCCUCCGUGGGUACCUUGCUAGAAAACAGGUCUGAUCAUGGUCAACAGCUUAAAACACUGCAGACCCCCUAGGCUUGCAGAAUAAAGCUUAUAUUGUUCACUCUCGCCAAGAAAAGCCCCUCACGUUCUGCCGCAUUCCUCCUUUCUUUAUCUUCAGUUUUGUCUCCUGCAUCGUAGCCAGACCCAGGCCCACAACAGCCUGUGCUUCAGUUACACAAAAUUGCAGGCGAGUCAUCAGACUCCCCGUGAGCUCUCUCCCUCUGCCUGCCCUUUACCUGCGCCUCGUCUCCACCUGGACCACCCCUCCCUCUUGUCUGUCCUCUGGGGAGAUCUCCCUAAUUUCUCUCACUUUGUUGCUGUGUCCCAGUUCCCACAGAGCUUGGUCCCAGGAGAUGCUCAGAAAUACUGAAUGAGUGAGUGAAUGAAUGAAUGAAGAAUAAAGCUGCAGUUGUCCCAGGCACUAGGAAUAUGACACACAUACAGACACUCAGGGCUCCACUGGUCCCAAGUGGCCUUCACAUGACCUCUGUGAGCCCACAGGAGAGCCCCUCUCCCCGGUCCUUUUGGGUCCUCUCAUACCUCUCCAGGCACCCCCAAGGGGGUGAGGGGUGAGAAGCCAGGAGGAUUAUGAGUGGGGGGAGCUGGCACAGUGACAGAGCACCUGACUCAGAGUCAAGAGGCCUAGGUUCAAACUCUAGUGCUGCAUGACCUUGGAAAAAUUAACUUCCUCUUGCUGAGGCUGUUUCCUCAACUGUCAAAAUGGGAAUAACAUUGACUAUUAAUAGGGAUUUCAUAAUAAUUGAAUGAAAUAGUUCAUGAAAUGUGUACUACCUGUCAAAAAGGGUUGGAUUCCUUGAGGUCCAGACAGACGAUGUGGGGAUCCAUCUUGCCCCCUUCCCCUGGGGAUGAAAGCACCUCCACGAAC